RNAcentral lists this ribosomal RNA (328 nucleotides) under uncultured bacterium. Its description in RNAcentral is "bacterial SSU rRNA". It matches the Rfam family "Bacterial small subunit ribosomal RNA", at positions 8 to 334 of the family's 1533-position model. The record is from RNAcentral.
AGAGUUUGAUCCUGGCUCAGGACGAACGCUGGCGGCGUGCCUAACACAUGCAAGUCGAACGGACGAGGCCCCUUCGGGGACCGAGUUAGUGGCGAACGGGUGAGUAACGCGUGAGGAACCUGCCUUUCAGAGGGGGACAACAGUUGGAAACGACUGCUAAUACCGCAUGACAUACCGGGGCCGCAUGGCCCUGGUAUCAAAGAUUUUAUCGCUGAAAGAUGGCCUCGCGUCUGAUUAGAUAGUUGGCGGGGUAACGGCCCACCAAGUCGACGAUCAGUAGCCGGACUGAGAGGUUGAACGGCCACAUUGGGACUGAGAUACGGCCCAG